UCUAUUCAGGGUACUGAAUACGAUUAAAAAUGUACUAAUAUUGUUACAACGAUUAAAAAUGUUAAUAAUCCAGUGUUUGUAAUUUCAUGAAUGUUCAAAAUUUUAUCUUGUAUUUGACAAAGUUUGUAUUUUAUGAUAUAUAUUAGUGAGUAUAAUUAUAUAUAUUUUUGAUUCAAAACAUAUUUCUAUUCAGGGUACUGAAUACGAUUAAAAAUGUACUAAUAUUGUUACAACGAUUAAAAAUGUUAAUAAUCCAGUGUUUGUAAUUUCAUGAAUGUUCCAAAUUUUAUCUUGUAUUUGACAAAGUUUGUAUUUUAUGAUCAAAAGACAAAGAAAUGAGAAUACUAAUCAUGUAUAGAUUGAGAGACACUAUAUCUUCCCAACAGUAGAAUAUAAUAGGAAAAUUGAUGUAUUUUCUAAUAAACUUGUUCAUAUAACUCUGUUUAUUUCAUGUAUAGAUUGAGAGACACUACCUAUAUCUUCCCAACUGUAGAAUAUAAUAGGAAAAUUUAUGUAUUUUCUAAUAAACUUGUUCAUAUAACUCUGUUUAUUUUGAUAGCAAUAUAAUAAAUUUAUGUAUUUUCUAAUAAACUUGUUCAUAUAACUCUGUUUAUUUUGAUAGCAGAUAGUUGGUUAUAUGAAUUGAAAUUGACACAAUUUUGUAUUUUAUAUGUUAUGGUUAUAUGUUAUUUUGUAUUUUGGUUAUAUGAAUUGAAAUUGACACAAUUUUGUAUUUUAUGAUCGAAAGACAAAGAAAUGAGAACAUUAUUUAUAAAAAUGAGAAAAUUGUAUAAAAUUGAGAGACACUAUCUUCCCAACAGUAGAAUAUAAUAGGAAAAUGGAUGUAAUUUUUCAAUAAUUUGUUCAUAUAAUUCCUCUGUUUAUUUUUAUAGCAAAGAGUUGGUUUGGUUAUAUGGAUGAAAUAACUUGAAAACACGGAAUUAGCUUAGAAACUGUAGAAAACUAUAAUCAAGUUUUUGUAAUAAACAGAGCUUUAGCAUUGAUAUUUGUAAUACAAUUUGAAAAAGAUGUCGACAAUUAAGAUCUUUUUGACGAUUAACAAGUUGAAAUGUAUUUAAAAUUUGAAUAAGAGUAAUAAAUAUAUUGUAUUAUCAAUCAUUAAAUUUUGGGUUCUGGAGACGUAAACUCCUGUAUACCUGAUAGUAUAUUUUGUAAUAAAAUAAAUUCUGAAGUUGUUUUGAACUGUUAAAUCCUUUACUUCAUUCAACUAAUUAUUGAUUUUACAUUUUCCAUGCAUUAAAUUUGUUUUUAAAUUCGAAAUCAAUCGCCUUUUAAGUGAGAUUUACUUUAUACCGCUAGCUUUAUUCCUUUUAAAUAACACCAAUUAUCUCAUUCAAAUAAUGUUGACAAUUUGAGAGAAUUUCGCAAGCAAUUUAUUCAAAUCAUUGAUGAAACAUUUUUUCAUAAAAUUAUUUUAUUUUCAAUUCGUAUUCUUCAUUAUUGCUCUCAUUUUUGUCAAGGAUGAUUUCCGUAAGAACUUUCGACUUGUGCUUGAGUAAUGCAAAAUAAUAUAUUUGAUGGAACUACAUUUAUAGUGGGUUCCGAACCAUUUAGUUGUAUAUCACUUUGUACUGAUUAUGCUUCUUAGGAUUACCUCUCACUUUAAUUUGUAAUGCUAUUUCCAAUUAUUGUAAACUAAACGUAUAAAAUUAGGUAGUAUGCCUUGUAUGUAGUAUAGUAAUUAAUAUUAUUGGUUCUGAAUAUGUUUAACCAAACUAUUAAAAUAUAAUUAUUUUUAUAGGAUGAUUACUAUAAUAAAUUCAUUUAUAGAGAAUUUAAAAA
Long non-coding RNA from Nilaparvata lugens (brown planthopper), 1803 nucleotides. RefSeq lists it as uncharacterized. The transcript has 2 exons. NCBI's taxonomy places the organism in Eukaryota, Metazoa, Arthropoda, Insecta, Hemiptera, Delphacidae. The record is from RefSeq and is a predicted model, not a curated record.